This 253-nucleotide ribosomal RNA is filed under the name uncultured bacterium. RNAcentral's name for it is "partial 16S ribosomal RNA". It matches the Rfam family "Bacterial small subunit ribosomal RNA", at positions 524 to 776 of the family's 1533-position model. The record is from RNAcentral.
UACGUAGGGGGCCAGCGUUAUCCGGAUUUACUGGGUGUAAAGGGAGCGUAGACGGCCAGACAAGUCUGAAGUGAAAAUCCAGCGCUUAACGUUGGAAGUGCUUUGGAAACUGCCGGGCUAGAGUGCAGGAGGGGCAGGCGGAAUUCCUAGUGUAGCGGUGAAAUGCGUAGAUAUUAGGAAGAACACCAGUGGCGAAGGCGGCCUGCUGGACUGCAACUGACGUUGAGGCUCGAAGGCGUGGGGAGCAAACAGG